AUUGAACGCUGGCGGCAGGCCUAACACAUGCAAGUCGAGCGGAGCGGCGGACGGGUGCGUAAUGCCUAGGAAUCUGCCUGGUAGUGGGGGAUAACGUCCGGCAACGGGCGCUAAUACCGCAUACUAUCAGAUGAGCCUAGGUCGGAUUGGCUAGUUGGUGGGGUAAAGGCCUACCAAGGCGACGAUCCGUAACUGGUCUGAGAGGAUGAUCAGUCAAACUGGAACGGAGAAACGGUCCAGCCUCCACGGGGAGGCAGCAGUGGGGAAUAUUGGACAAUGGGGGAAGUCCUGAUCCAGCCAUGCCGGGUGGGUGUGGAAGGUCUUCGGAUUGUAAAGCACGUUAAGUUGGGAGGCGUUACCAACAGAAUAAGCACCGGCUAACUUCGUGCCAGCCGCCGCGGUAAUUC
RNAcentral lists this ribosomal RNA (407 nucleotides) under uncultured bacterium. RNAcentral's name for it is "partial 16S ribosomal RNA". It matches the Rfam family "Bacterial small subunit ribosomal RNA", at positions 30 to 526 of the family's 1533-position model. The record is from RNAcentral.